This is a long non-coding RNA of Larimichthys crocea (large yellow croaker), 239 nucleotides long. RefSeq lists it as uncharacterized. NCBI's taxonomy places the organism in Eukaryota, Metazoa, Chordata, Actinopteri, Sciaenidae. The transcript has 3 exons. The record is from RefSeq and is a predicted model, not a curated record.
UAUAAUUGGAUGCCAAACUUUUACAAACAUUGUUUGUUUUUUCUAUUAAUGAUAUCUCAACUCAUCUAAAUGUAAUACAUUGCUCAGUUCCUGAAGCCACAUUUAAAGGAUAUCAAGCAGAGCCUUCCACGUCUUAAGAUUCAGUGUGACACCUGUUGCAGGUGGUCCCAUGUGGAUCAACAUGGACUCGGCAACGAUUCAGCAGGCAGAGAGUAGUGACUGGAAUUGUAUUAUUUGCG